Molecule: long non-coding RNA, 1219 nt
Organism: Plodia interpunctella (Indianmeal moth)
Lineage: Eukaryota; Metazoa; Arthropoda; Insecta; Lepidoptera; Pyralidae
Exons: 3
Source: RefSeq, a predicted model, not a curated record
GCUUGAUUUGCUUUUCGCAACAGUGCAUACGUUUGUUACGUAGGUACCUAUCUCUUUUUUACGUGUUUUUGCUUCGUUUCAUCAAUUUUUUACGGCAAAGGGAAUGAAUGCAGAUGACCGUGCGAAGUGGAGACGAAAAAGUAAGAAAGCGGACCCGGGGUUCCGACGCUCAACGGCUAAGGAAGAAACCGGGAACACACUAAAAUGAGAGGGAGACUUACCUUUUAUUUUUUUCAUGUUGGUCGACGUUUCAAAUGGAAUCGCAUUCAUCACGGCCACAGCCACGACAGGCGAUAAAACGAUAUUAUUUUUUGGCAGAGUCAUAUCUGGCAGAAUUGUUUUUUUUUUAUUUUUAUUAUUCGCGCCGAAAAUUUUUAUAAUAUUAUUUUAUAUACUACACUAACAUUUGACAUGAAUUGAACUAUUGAUUAUAUAUUAUAAUAUAUUUUUUACUUUAUUUAUUUAACACAAUACUUUCCGUUUAUAUUUGGACUAAGUCGAAGAUACACUAAAUGUUUUGGGAUAAUAUUGACAAUUACUUUAUAAGUUAUUGCAACAAAAAAAUAUUUAAAAUUAAAAAAAAAUGUCAUAAUAAAAAAAAUAUCCUUGUUUAUUUAAUUCUGUCAUCAGAAUGACGUGUGUUUUUGAUUUUUAAUAGUUUAAUCACUGUAUAAAUAAAUAGUACGAUACUAAGUGUGGUGGGCCAUCUUGCCCAAACAGGAGUUCGUGGAGUUGCCAUGUUCAAGGUCUUUACUGCUCAACGAGGCGGAAAUAAUGAGAUUAGCUUUUUAGCGGUGCACUCUAGCGGCGAUUCCGCGAACUUUACAGUCCGGGUCGACAACCUUCAGGUGCAGUAUAGCGGCUACAACGACCGUCCAACGAGAACUGAAAUCAUCGGCCUUCGAAAAUCAAAAUAUCCAAGGACAGCGCAGCGCCGGGUCAUUGAACUCCGGUAACGCCACUGGGUCAAAAAAAGAGCAUGUCAUCGCUAUUUCGAUCGCUUUCAUCGACGCGCCUCUAGAUGAUUCCAUACGACAUCAGACCUUUACAGCUAGUGCUACGAGGUGCUACGAUCCUGUGACGGCAGGCUACGAAGCGCCUACGUUCUCAGCUACGAAUUGUUCGUAGCAAAGAGCUUGUCUCUCUUCAAGUACUACCCCACUAAUAUUCUACGUUGUUACGAAGAAUUUAGUAAAUAAUGCUCGCUACUUGUGUGUUC